GACGAACGCUGGCGGCGUGCCUAAUACAUGCAAGUCGAGCGAAGUUUUUCUGGUGCUUGCACCGGAAAAACUUAGCGGCGAACGGGUGAGUAACACGUAAAGAACCUGCCUCAUAGACUGGGACAAAUAUUGGAAACGAUAGCUAAUACCGGAUAACAGCAUUAACUGCAUGGUUGAUGUUUAAAAGUUGGUUUUGCUAACACUAUGAGAUGGCUUUGCGGUGCAUUAGCUAGUUGGUGGGGUAAAGGCCUACCAAGGCGACGAUGCAUAGCCGACCUGAGAGGGUGAUCGGCCACACUGGGACUGAGACACGGCCCAGACUCCUGCGGGAGGCAGCAGUAGGUAAUCUUCGGCAAUGGGCGAAAGCCUGACGGAGCAACGCCGCGUGAGUGAAGAAGGAUUUCGGUUCGUAAAGCUCUGUUGUUAGGGAAGAAUGAUUGUGUAGUAACUAUACACAGUAGAGACGGUACCUAACCAGAAAGCCACGGCUAACUACGUG
Molecule: ribosomal RNA, 499 nt
Filed under: uncultured bacterium
Lineage: Bacteria
Description: partial 16S ribosomal RNA
Rfam family: Bacterial small subunit ribosomal RNA
Source: RNAcentral